UACAGAGGGUGCGAGCGUUAAUCGGAGUUACUGGGCGUAAAGGGCGCGUAGGCGGUGAGAUGAGUGUGAUGUGAAAGCCCCGGGCUUAACCUGGGAAGUGCAUCGCAAACUAUCUGACUGGAGUAUAUGAGAGGGUGGCGGAAUUUCCGGUGUAGCGGUGAAAUGCGUAGAGAUCGGAAGGAACGUCGAUGGCGAAGGCAGCCACCUGGCAUAAUACUGACGCUGAUGCGCGAAAGCGUGGGGAGCGAACAGG
RNAcentral lists this ribosomal RNA (253 nucleotides) under uncultured bacterium. RNAcentral describes it as "partial 16S ribosomal RNA". It matches the Rfam family "Bacterial small subunit ribosomal RNA", at positions 524 to 776 of the family's 1533-position model. The record is from RNAcentral.